RNAcentral lists this ribosomal RNA (534 nucleotides) under Pseudomonas aeruginosa. RNAcentral describes it as "bacterial SSU rRNA". It matches the Rfam family "Bacterial small subunit ribosomal RNA", at positions 74 to 604 of the family's 1533-position model. Lineage: Bacteria; Pseudomonadati; Pseudomonadota; Gammaproteobacteria; Pseudomonadales; Pseudomonadaceae. The record is from RNAcentral.
GGGAGCUUGCUCCUGGAUUCAGCGGCGGACGGGUGAGUAAUGCCUAGGAAUCUGCCUGGUAGUGGGGGAUAACGUCCGGAAACGGGCGCUAAUACCGCAUACGUCCUGAGGGAGAAAGUGGGGGAUCUUCGGACCUCACGCUAUCAGAUGAGCCUAGGUCGGAUUAGCUAGUUGGUGGGGUAAAGGCCUACCAAGGCGACGAUCCGUAACUGGUCUGAGAGGAUGAUCAGUCACACUGGAACUGAGACACGGUCCAGACUCCUACGGGAGGCAGCAGUGGGGAAUAUUGGACAAUGGGCGAAAGCCUGAUCCAGCCAUGCCGCGUGUGUGAAGAAGGUCUUCGGAUUGUAAAGCACUUUAAGUUGGGAGGAAGGGCAGUAAGUUAAUACCUUGCUGUUUUGACGUUACCAACAGAAUAAGCACCGGCUAACUUCGUGCCAGCAGCCGCGGUAAUACGAAGGGUGCAAGCGUUAAUCGGAAUUACUGGGCGUAAAGCGCGCGUAGGUGGUUCAGCAAGUUGGAUGUGAAAUCCCC